GUUCUUCAGAGAAGAGACGUCUUGGAAUUGUUACAAGCCGCAUCAAGACAGAUAUCAGAUGGAGAACAUGCUGGAGUGUGCAAUCAUAGUCUUGUGGCUUCAGCUUGGCUGGCUGAGCGGAGAAGACCAGGUGGAGCAGAGUCCUCAGACCCUGAGGGUCCAGGAGGGAGACAGUGUCAGUCUCACCUGCAGUUACACAGUCAGUGGUUUUAGAGGGCUCCAGUGGUACCGGCAGGAUCCUGGGAAAGGCCCCAGACACCUCUUCCUCCUGUACUCAGUUGGGAAGGGAGAUCAGAAGGGAAGACUAAGCGUCUCACUAUCACAGAAGGAAAGUUCUCUGAACAUCACAGCCCCUAAAGCUGAAGACUCAGCCACCUACCUCUGCGCGGUGGAGCCACAGUGCUCCCCGGGCACCUGCAGCCUGCACCAAAACCCUGCAGCGGGACCCUGGCAUAAGGGCUGUUGGUUGUUUCCCUCCUCGAUGAGGUAUUUACUUAGCACUCAGAACCGCUUUCCAAGUGGUCCUGUGGAGAAUGAAGUCUGUGACACGGCCGGGUGGCAGAGACUACUGUUCAUUCUGCCCAGGCAUCCUGGGCCCCUCUGCCUGCUCAUAGGUCAGUCUGCUUUUCAUAGCGGCCCAGAGCGCCCUUCACCGGGACGGAGAUGGCGUAGCUGUGAUAUGGACAGUCUUGGUUUCUGGACUUGGGCCACUUGA
Non-coding RNA from Pipistrellus kuhlii (Kuhl's pipistrelle), 715 nucleotides. NCBI's taxonomy places the organism in Eukaryota, Metazoa, Chordata, Mammalia, Chiroptera, Vespertilionidae. The record is from the annotation of a RefSeq genome assembly.